GACGAACGCUGGCGGCGUGCUUAACACAUGCAAGUCGAACGGAAAGGCCCUGCUUUUGUGGGGUGCUCGAGUGGCGAACGGGUGAGUAACACGUGAGUAACCUGCCCUUGACUUUGGGAUAACUUCAGGAAACUGGGGCUAAUACCGGAUAGGAGCUCCUGCUGCAUGGUGGGGGUUGGAAAGUUUCGGCGGUUGGGGAUGGACUCGCGGCUUAUCAGCUUGUUGGUGGGGUAGUGGCUUACCAAGGCUUUGACGGGUAGCCGGCCUGAGAGGGUGACCGGCCACAUUGGGACUGAGAUACGGCCCAGACUCCUACGGGAGGCAGCAGUGGGGAAUAUUGCACAAUGGGCGGAAGCCUGAUGCAGCAACGCCGCGUGCGGGAUGACGGCCUUCGGGUUGUAAACCGCUUUCGCCUGUGACGAAGCGUGAGUGACGGUAAUGGGUAAAGAAGCACCGGCUAACUACGUGCCAGCAGCCGCGGUGAUACGUAGGGUGCGAGCGUUGUCCGGAUUUAUUGGGCGUAAAGGGCUCGUAGGUGGUUGAUCGCGUCGGAAGUGUAAUCUUGGGGCUUAACCCUGAGCGUGCUUUCGAUACGGGUUGACUUGAGGAAGGUAGGGGAGAAUGGAAUUCCUGGUGGAGCGGUGGAAUGCGCAGAUAUCAGGAGGAACACCAGUGGCGAAGGCGGUUCUCUGGGCCUUUCCUGACGCUGAGGAGCGAAAGCGUGGGGAGCGAACAGGCUUAGAUACCCUGGUAGUCCACGCUGUAAACGGUGGGUACUAGGUGUGGGGUCCAUUCCACGGGUUCCGUGCCGUAGCUAACGCUUUAAGUACCCCGCCUGGGGAGUACGGCCGCAAGGCUAAAACUCAAAGGAAUUGACGGGGCCCCGCACAAGCGGCGGAGCAUGCGGAUUAAUUCGAUGCAACGCGUAGAACCUUACCUGGGUUUGACAUGGAUCGGGAGUGCUCAGAGAUGGGUGUGCCUCUUUUGGGGUCGGUUCACAGGUGGUGCAUGGCUGUCGUCAGCUCGUGUCGUGAGAUGUUGGGUUAAGUCCCGCAACGAGCGCAACCCUUGUUCACUGUUGCCAGCACGUUAUGGUGGGGACUCAGUGGAGACCGCCGGGGUCAACUCGGAGGAAGGUGGGGAUGACGUCAAGUCAUCAUGCCCCUUAUGUCCAGGGCUUCACGCAUGCUACAAUGGCUGGUACAGAGAGUGGCGAGCCUGUGAGGGUGAGCGAAUCUCGGAAAGCCGGUCUCAGUUCGGAUUGGGGUCUGCAACACGACCUCAUGAAGUCGGAGUCGCUAGUAAUCGCAGAUCAGCAACGCUGCGGUGAAUACGUUCCCGGG
This 1343-nucleotide ribosomal RNA is filed under the name uncultured bacterium. RNAcentral describes it as "16S ribosomal RNA". It matches the Rfam family "Bacterial small subunit ribosomal RNA", at positions 28 to 1378 of the family's 1533-position model. The record is from RNAcentral.